Molecule: long non-coding RNA, 11221 nt
Organism: Peromyscus californicus insignis
Lineage: Eukaryota; Metazoa; Chordata; Mammalia; Rodentia; Cricetidae
Exons: 2
Source: RefSeq, a predicted model, not a curated record
UUUUUUUUUUUUUUUUUUUUUGAGUCUGCACAGGAAAGCUCCGCUUCCAGGCAGAGGAGGUUGGGGAGAGCGACUCUAUCAGGUACAGCACUAGUGGCUGUUUGUGAAGAUGGAGGGGGAUUAUGCCUCGGAUUCCUCUGAAAUAUUGGCCAAAGGCUUCAAAGGAUCCGCAGCGGGAGGCGAGGGUGGGGGAGCAUCUCCCCAGCUCUCACCCACCCCUUCCCACUUUGCGUCUACCAAAUGACAGGCUGGUGCUCGCUCUGGGUGAUUUUGGCCUUGGCCUCAGCCAAGCAGCUGAUGCAGAGGAGGGCCUGGUUUGCAAGACUGACAGAACUCUGCAUGCUAGAGAAAGAAGGAAAAGAAAAAAAAAAUUUUUUUCCAAGCAGUCCUUGGGAAAUUUUCUUGUUCUCUCUCGAUUUAUUUAUUUUUAAUUUUUUUACCGACUGUUUUCCAAAUUUGAUCAGCCCCAGCCCCUCCCUCCACUCCCACCCUACUGCCUUUCCCCCCACCCCCACGCCCGGCCAAAGCAUAAACCAUAGAGUUACGGUCUUCUCUCGAUUUUGGAGUAUCGCUUCCUGCCCCCGCCUUCCCUCCCCGCCCCAUUCUCUGUCCUAUUGAACACCUCGCCUAGCCUAGCGCACUGCGAGCUCACAUUCUCCCCCCGGCUCUGGAUGGCGCUCCUGGAAGCUCUGCAGCCGAGCUCCACUUCAAAUGGAUGGGAUCAGGUGACCAGAGUGUGGCAGCUCCUGGCUUCUGUUGAAGUAGACUGUUAGCAUCCUGUGUUGGCUGUUAUGGACGCCUGUGUAUAUGGCUGACACUGAGGCUGGUGGAAACUCAUCGGCGGGGUCUAUUCCUUGAGAGCAACACGCAGUACUACCAGAGCGUAACACCAACAGCUCAGUACCUGGUGGUUGACCUCAGAACAUCUCAGCUGAAGUCCCAGCAUGCCCCAUGCCUCCAACUUUUAAACUCCACAGUUAAUCUGAAAAUUGUGCUCAAUUAAAAUGGGCAUGAGAAUAUAUUAUAUCUGCAUUGUCCACACAUGUGUUGUAUAUGGCUAGACAGUGGUUUCACUGACAUAGGUAUGCUGGAACCACUGGUUUGGAAUAAACGAAUAGGUUAAAUAUUCAACUCUUGUAUUCAAUACAAAGGAAAGAAAUGAAGAGACUGGGAAAGAUAAAAUAUGUGCUACUUUGCAAGAUUUCUUAAAAACAAAAUGAAAGGAGGGAUGCUACCUCCUCGCUUUGGUACCUCUGUAAAAUCGUUAUGCUUGGUGAAUUUAAAGGUGAUAAGAAUAGAAAUGGAUUUUUCUAAAUACCAUGGGAUGAAAGAAAUAAUUGAGUGCAUUUGAUAUUGCGUUCUUUGGGGGGAAAUCAAUGCCUACGACUCUUCUUUAGAAGCUGGGAAGAUUUUUAUCAGGAUUUUAAUUCAAUUCGACAAAGCUAUUGGUAAUACCAAACCACAUUUAAAAAGGAUCCUCUCUUGAGGCGAUUGUUAGCAUUUUCUAGUUUGUAGUUUUCUGGGAUGAUAACUUUUCAUGGCAGGGUAAUUUCAGUGAUUCAGGUCAGCCUCACAUUAGGGAAGAAGGACGUGGCUUACCUUCCCUUUGUUGCAGAAAAUUCGGGCGUACAGUUUCCUUUAAACAGUUUUACUCUUCUCAGCCCAACCUUUCUCUCCAUUUUUGGAAAAUGACUAAAUCAACCCAGACUCCAAAUGCUUUCAUCUUUGAAAGAUUUUGUAAUGGUUGUAACCUCAUUGUACACAGAGAGAGGAAAGUGAAGGAAGCUGCUCUUGUUCCAUUUUUAAAUGCUUAUCUCAAUUUUACUCAUUUACCCCAAAUUACAGUCAAGAAAGCAUUUUGCAUCAGAAUGCUGAAUUGAGAAGUGUGCAACAAUUGUGCUGCGUCUUUUGUUGAAACCUCUUGUACGGCUGUAAUUUAACUAUUACUUGGCAGCCUUUGAUAGAAUGUGCUUCAAAGCUUACAGUUAUUUAACAGAUUUUUUUCCAUUAGUUUAUAUAAAAUGAUUAAUGAUUCCCCAUCCCAUUUCAACUAAUGUGCAUGCAUAGCUAUGUGGAAAUUAUGGUGGUGCAUCAGUUUAACUUAUGGAUAAUACAUAUUAUCACAUUAUACAUUUGAAAGAUUGGCAAACAUUUGGUGCUUUUUGAAGGCAAAAUAUGUAUGCAGCUGACGUGACAGAAAUGUGUGCAUGGAUCAAUAAAGAUAUGAUAGAUGUGAUUUCUCUGUGAUUUCAAGUGAUAGAGGGACAUAAUUCAAUACAAACGUUUCAGUUUGUACUAGCAGGCACUCCUGCUUUCCCAUGUUUUCAAGUGGAUUGCUCCUGUUCUCAGGCUGCUACUGUAAUGCAGGUUGGCCAGGCAUUCAGCAGUGCGUGCAACACAACAGAUUUCUAUAUUUCAGCAGGCAACUGCUUCAGUGCAAGGGCAGGUUUCUCAACACCCCCUCUUCCUCAUGGAGCCCAUCAGCGAAGUUCAGUGAAAUGAAUAACAUAAUUGGUGGUUGGUUCAAUCACUACCAGUCUAGACUAGCCCAGACGCAUCAAUUAGAGGGGACUGUCUUUUAAAGGGAGAGUGUAGCCGAAACAAGCAAGCUAUUAUUGAUACUGAUCUUUAAAAGCGCAAAUCCAGCCUGGCAGAUAAAAAAAAAUAAAAUAAAAUAAAAAAUAAAAAGGUGGUGAGCUGCAGUGGGGGUGCAAUGGGGGAAGAAAAGAGACCCAGGGAACUGGAGCUGGGGUGCAGAAGGACAGGAAGCUGGAGCGAAAGGGGGGAUAAUGAGUGGAAUGCAGUCCUGUACCUCCUUGGAGCACAGUUACAAUUCAGUUCACAGGGUGCAGUGGCUCACCGUUUUUUUUAACUAGCAUGCACACACACACACACACACACACAGACCCCUUCCCUAACACGACCACCUCCUUUAAAAAAGUCUUCUUUUUUGCCAGCUUACAACCAACACAGUUGAAAUCUAACAGCUUUAAGAAGCCGCACUGAUAACAAGAAGAACCAGCUGAAACCCCUUUUGCAAUAUUUACCCAAAAGAAAAAUAUGUUAAAUGCUUAAUUUUCAAAUCUCUAUUCUUUUUGUUUUAUUUUGUUUUAAGAGAGCAAACUAGAGAAGAGUACUCAUUUUUAAAAUCUGGUACUGGAACCAAUUUUAUGGGCAAAACACCUUUAUACGAAAAGUUUACAGUUUUCCAUUGAAUACAGUUAAGUAAGAAGAAUGUAACAAAAGGCUUUGGUGAUUUGGUAGUUUUUUUUCUUCUCUUCUCUUCUUCUUUUCUGAGGGAGAAAAACAGAUGAUUUAGAAAGUGUUAGGAACAUAUCAAGCCCCAGGGAAAGAAAACGUUUGAUUGGUAUUAAUUAAAACACUGCUAAUAUAUUCUAAUAAAAUCAGAUUUAACAUUCUAAACUAAUCCGCCUAGCAUGUCAAAGGCAAAGAAAAGUAUUAUCUUUCUUAUUUGCAUCUAGACAACUCGAAUGCAUUUGCUCAUUCGGCAGAAUUAAUUUCUUCCACCAGUCUAUUAAAUCUCCUCACAGAUUUGGUCAAACUUAUUCUUUCAGACUAGAAGGGAGUGGGGUGGGGAAACCAUGGAAGGUAUUUGGAAGAGGAGUGACUGUAUUUAGGGCCGGGUUUCUGGCUGCCUGUAGUCUUUUCUCUCCAUUUGCUGUAACGGGGUGUGGAGAACAGCGGGGAUUGCACAGUGAUAAAUGGCUCAGGGGUUUUGUUUUGUUUUUUUUUUUUUCCCCUUUCUCUCCUUCUACCUGCUGGCUUAUUUAAAAUUUUCAGUUGCCAAAUUAUAUGAAUGGCAUUUAUUCUGUGCGGUCAGCUUGCUCAUCAGCAUCUAAUUUUUGUUUUCUAAUUUCAGAAUCCAUGCUAUCACAGAUUCCUAAUGGAAAUUAAAUAAAUAAAUAAAUAAAUAAAUAAAUAAAUAAAUAAAUAAAUAAAUAAAUAAAGGUCCUUAUAACCAGAAACCCAUCAUCUUUUCUCGGCUAUUUUUUUUUCUAACUUCAAUCCUAAGGGCAAGUGAGGAAAAGAAUGCAAAAUUUUAUUCACCAAGAGCUGAGUUCUUUGUUCUAUUUUUAAGUUAAAUAUUUCUCUGGAAGAAUUCCAUAUUUUUCUGGAGCAUGGCGUUUUAGCUCUUUAUUGCUAAGCUCACCCAACUGAUAAUAUUGUCCUCAGCUGGUAUUAUAGCUAAAAUGUUUCGCCUGUCACCGGUCUCCCGAAACUAUGAUAGCCCAUGCAAAUAUGAGGCUAACACAAAAAGAUGAAUGGGCCGGAAAUGCUGAAGACCAUAUGGGUGUGUUUCCACAAGGAGGGAGUCCGCAGGCUGUGGAGAGGUGGACUGACUAUAGUCUGCACCAGGGAGGUGGCUGCAGACUUCUUCCUCCAUUGCCUUUUCAAGUCUCCAAGGUAAAAGAGCAAUCGCGGUUUGGUUUCACUUGUAUUGUUCUAUAAUCCAGGCAAUAAAUGCUAAUUAGUAAUGCUCAAGGAUCCGACCAUUCAGAGUAAUUAUCAUAAUUUACUUCUUCCUCGUUAAAGACAUUCCUUGCUGAUUUAAAAAAAAAAAAGAAAGAAAGAAAGUCGUCCCUUCCCCAUGGCAUUGCAGUGAGGAUUCACUAGAGAGACGUUCAAGGUACACUCAGAGCCUCGAGGCUGCAUUUGAAGUCACCGACAUGUGCUGCGCCUUAUUGGGAAUGGAAGUGCAGCUUGAUUUCUAUGAUGAAAUUCAUAUAAAUGCAUCAGCUUCUGCACAUGCACAGGAAUGUAUGGUUUUAUUUUACAAACCCCAAGGCUCCUCCUUUGGGUCCCACCCCUUUUUCUAAAACCACUUAUGAGCUGAACAAAGGAAAGUACUAACUAUAGAGGCAUCAUUAAAUGUGAACAGUCACUGCACUGUAAAGUGUGUGCUAUGACAACAUAUUUCACUGCACAAAAGUGCAGAUAAUUAAAUAAUUCAACAGCAACCCCGACUAAUUAGCAGAAAGAUCUUUAAAGAGGAACAAAAAAAAAUGGAUCCAAUCAACUUGAAGAAUAUGCUUCAUUCUCCGAGAGAUCUCAAAUAUAUUUUAGUUCUUUGGAGAUUGAUUCAUGUAGGGCAUGAGGACAAAGCCAGUUACUCAAAGCAGAGCUUGGAUCUUCUUUAGACACACAAACUGGAUGUCUGUCUUCGAUGAGCUGAAUUUAGUGUAAGACUUUCCAUUUGCAGUCAAAGGUAUACAUGCCACUCAGACGUACAGGUCUCUUUUAUCUAUAGAUCUAUGACAGCCAACCCUUAGCUUUUCAGUUGGCUUCCUUAAUGUGUGUGUAGCCUCUCCCACAUUUUCUAAUGAUGCAUAUUGAAGUUCCAUAUUGCUUGAAGAAAGUAUCGUAUUCACAGUACAGAUAGAAUAAGUAACUGUACUCAGUGUUGUGCAAGGUAAUACCUCUUCCCCAUUUCCUUUGUCAAGGUGUUAUUCUUAGUGUUCAUUGUUCAUUGGUCCUUUAAGCAGGAGCUCCAGAUUUAACUUGAGGGCUAUAAGCACAUUAGAAGAAUAAUUCCCCUUGGAUACUGUACAGAAGGAGCCACCUGCAAAAUGUUGAUGCUGUUAUUGAAGUCUCAAGUGGAAUCAGCUUUCAAAAAAUUAGAUAUUAGAUACAUCCGAUAUAAUUUGCAAUCUGUAAUUAUACUAAUGUGCAUAGAGCUGCACGUUGCUUUACAUGUAGCCUACUUGAGUUUGUUGCCCACCCCCACCCUUGGGCAUGUCUCAUCACUUGCAAUUGCUCCUGAGUAGAAUGCUUUUUAAGCCAGCUUAUUUUUUGUAAUUCCUUGUUAAUUAAUAUAAGAAUAAAAGGACUUUGCAGCCGGUGUGCUUGUGUGAGAAUGAAAGCGAAAAACCUGGAUGGUGAAAACUAAUGAUCCCUCGAAGGGUUGUCACUGGAGACACUGGAAUUCUUUGCAAAACAUUCGCAAUUCUUUGUGGAUUUGUUCUUUAUCCUGACUUCGGAUAACUUGGACGCAUGGAGAACAUCAGAGUAGUAGAUAUCACUUAGAAGGAGUACAUUUCCUUUGUUGGAAUUAGAGAAAUGACAUUAGGCAGAGAUAAUAGGUUUUAACUUAAUCAAAAUAAUCAAACCAUUAACAAUAAUAAACAAUUCCUUUUCUGCUUUUCCCCUCCAUUUUGCAUGUCACGUGAUGAGUAACUGGAACUCUUGUGUACUAACUUCAGUUCCCUUUUGGGGCCUCAACGUGAUUCCAGAGAUCUACUGAUGGCUCCCCUGGGGAGCCUUCUCCAGCAAGCUCCCCCGUGAAGAUCUACCUACUAAGAAAAAAAAAAAAACCCAGGCAGAAGCACAGUGAGUUGGCUGGUCAGUCUGGCACUUGGCUGUAUGCAGUAGGUGAUGAGAUUGUCAAGACAAACUUGGAGAAUUAUUACUGAGCAAGGCAAUGUAAGGGUCUCCCUUGUAUUUCUUCUGCAUUCAAAUUACAAAAAGGAUCCCAAGAGACUCUUAUGUUGAGUAGAAGACCCCAUUCCACUACUCGAUGCAAUUUGGUAGGUAUAGAACCAAAAAAAACAAAGCUGAUCUGCAAAAUUUUUAACUCAUGACAAACUCGUGAAAUCUGUCCAUUCUCCUACUGUCUGCUGCAUAUUCAUUCCUCAAAUUUUUUAAAUUUUAUUUAUAGUAUAUAAAAGCCGUUUUUGCAUGGGUUGGGUCUGUGUAACUCCAAAGCAAUGUGUAGCUUGUUUUUUAUCUUCUCACAUAUUCUUGAACUUUCCAUUAUUCACUACCUAUAUGAAUCAUAAAAGUACUAUAUACAGUGUCCUUUUAUAAUACAAUAUCAUGCUAAUUUAUUCACAAAUGAAUAUUGCAUGUAUGCCAAAAGCUUAGCAUCCCAUCUUCGAUAUCAUUGUUUAUAAAAUACAUUGCCCAUUAACAAUAUUUAAAAGUAAGUCAUUCUACCAGUUAGAUCUCUCCUCUGGAGAACCAGCAUCCCCAGCAUACUCUUAUUUAGUGCAGUGAUGUGUCCUGGUACAUUCCAUUCAGUGUACCUAGCUCAUUGAUGCAAUUUCAUUGUGUGAGUAUAAUGGAGAAGCUGAUGUCAAAGGUUUUAGUUAAAUUAAAACCACCUGUAAAGCACAUCUCAUUCACAACAGCUCCUGCAGAGUAAGAGAGUAACAUUAAUACCUCUCUUCUCAAAUAUCCUUAUCUGUGAAGUGAGUGGGUCAGACCAGGAAGGUUCUCAGUUCUUACAGCUCUCAGAGUUGUUGAAGCUAUUUUACAGUGUGGGGCCAAUCGAACAAGGCCAGAACCCAUGAACCCAGAGUCUGUUGGUAUCAGUUGCCCUUCAACGUUACAUCUGAUUCUGCCUCCCGGGUUUAGUAUUUACUAAUCUGUUUUGCCCUGUUGAGAAAGCACAAAAGAUUGGAGUUCACUUUCAGGAAGGGAUGGUGACUGAAAAAACACCAGCCUAGGGGCAAAAAUCAAAGAAAACGGAAACCAAAAUAAGGCUAUCCAGUGGGGGAAGUGAAUUCUUCAUCCCAGUUGUAAACCCACAUCCUUCAACGUUGACUUGGAAGAUUCCCAGACAGACACCCACCUUCCUGUUUAGGCCACACCCUGUCCCCAAGCCCUUCUGCUUGCCUGUCAUCCCUUGGAGUGCGGUUUCUUCUCUCCAUUGGAUCGAUGCCUUUAAGUUUUGUGUUUCCUGUUCCUCUUGGUUCAUUGGGAUUGUGGUAAUACUCCUUUCAGGAGCCUACAAUGGUUGCUCGACCACAACACACUUCCCAAAUGAAACACUGACAUGUUCAAAGCCACCUGGAAAGGGCCCCACCUCAUUUUUCUCCAACCACCCAGCAGGUAGAAGCCCUUCUUAAAUCAGACUUGACGCCCCAGUCUUGACGCCUUUAAUAUGCUUACAGCUGACUAAUUUUCUUCCUGUGUGCCCCAGUGUUCGGUAACUCUCACCUUCCUUCAUUACUUUCUCCUUCCUUUCCUUUCUCCUAUUUUCUCUCCUCUUCCCCCCACUUCCCCUCCCUCCUUCCAUCCACACACUUUUCUUUCUUCUUUCUUUCUUUUUCCUUUUCUUUCCCUUUCUCUUUCUUACUAAUCCUGCUCUCCCUCCUUCCCUUUCUCCGUCUCUUUUUCUUUACGUACCAUGCACCAAGUUCUGUGCGAGGUACUAGAAAGACCAAGAUAAUUUCAAGGGGUCAGCAAUUAGCACCCAGUAAUUCCAGUGCUUUCCUUCACUCCUGCAUGCUGAGCAGUUAUGCACUGACAACCAACCUAGAUCAUCUUCAUUCCCAGGACUUAUUUCAAUGUGCCCUGGACCCUGCAGUCCUUUGAUCUCUGCCUGUGUGUCCUGCUUCAGUGAGGGUAGACUCGAAGCACUCCUUCAAGUAGGACUCUCUCAUCCACACUGGGACGAGACCACUACUUAACUGAUCCUUGAGCAAGGGGAACAAUGAAAGAGAGCUGCUUUUUGUUGUCCGAGUGAUGUAGCAUUUCUGCUGGAGUUAGAAAUAGCAUUGUCUCUAAGGUGCCACUAAUUCAUUUCCUUUAAACAGUCAAUGUGGUAACUGUCUGUGACGUGUUCUAUUAUCUUUUCAGUUGUACUGAUGUUGCUUUCAGCUGGUCCUAUAGCCCCCUUUCUCAGGAAUGUCUCCCCGGGGAAAGGACAAAGACGGCAGAGACUGCUAGACUGAUGGACCGCUCAUGCCAACUGUGAAGUUGAAACAAAGCAACUGACCACCUGAAGAGACCCCUCCUGCACAGCAGCCACCCACAUGGUGCAGUGGCAGCCAAUAGUAAUCUUUGCAAGAAACAGAAAAACCCAGACCAUCCACGAGUCAAAAGCUUUCCCUUCCUUGUGUGUAUUCGUCUGUCUGUGUUCAGAUUCACAUGCCAUGUAUUUUUGAUGCUAGUAUGGACAUGCUUGUUAGUGCAGUUGUGUAAAGGCAACUUUGCCCAAGUGUGUUAAUGUAUGAAAAGACUGAAUUUUCUGGGAAGACUGAUUUUUAUCAAGAUACAGUAUUGGUUCCUGAGAGAGAUCUAGAAAGUGAAAGACAAUGUCACCACAGGUGACCCACAGAGACCUCAUGCCUCCACGCAGAAACACCACAUCCUGCCCCCAGACUCUGAGUGGCAAGCUUGGCUCUGUGACGUAUGACAGCUGCUUCCAAGGGUGGAAAUCAAACUGGACAAGGGUACAUAAGCUACCUAAAAUGUAGUGAUAAACUGAGUCAGUAGACAAUAAGAACAGAAACAAAACCAAAGACAAUGUUCUAAGAAGAGGCCAAAUUGGUUUGCCUAAGGGAGAAUAUUGCCCUAAAGAGAAAAUAUGAAAGGAACCUUAAAGGGUGUUAAAAAAAAAUACAUAAAUGGGAAGGUAGGAGAAAAUAGAGGCCUGAAGGUGGACAUAAUAGUAUGCAAGGGCAUGGCAGAGGAAAUCCAUGUAGUGAAUUUUGGAGAUAGCAAAUCCUAUUAACUUGACUCCACUCAACACUCAGCAUCCCUCUCUGUGUGUCUUGUAAAGAUGGUGCACACCUGUAUUUUCCCUCUCCCACCCCAGAAGUCACCUAAACCAAACUAGAACUGAAAAGUCAGUUCUCUGACACUAGAAGGGUGAAGGCAAUUGGUGGCACCUGUGUAGAACUCAUGAUUCUUCUGUUUGUAAUUGCUAGUUACCAAGUUUAUUCCUUAUAGGAAAUACUUUGCAUAAUGAAUCUCAGGAGAGCUCUGAAAAAUUACACAUUGUUCCCACUUCCUAGGUGAUGAAACUGAUUUUGAUGAGGUUAUGUGCCUGGCCAAGGUGCUAUGUGUGGCUAUGAACAUUCAAGGUUGUGGUCACAAAGCUCAUGAGCUGGAGCCUGAAGUCAGACUUUGUGAUCAGUACCCACACUGAAGUCACUUUCCCCACAGCCCUUACUGUCUGUCCACGGAAACAAAUAGCCCUUCUGCUUACUUAUGGCCUCAAUGCUCUCCACUUUUGUAUAUGAAUUACACCAGAAUGAUAAAAUGUGUUUUCACGACAGAAAAUUGAGAAUUUAGUGGAGGAGAGCCUGUCAGCAUUUAGACAUUUCCUUUUGAUUUUGGUCAGACAUCAUGAAACUUUUGACUUAGUUCUACAAAAAAACCCAAAAGUUUUAAGAGCAGUGGCCUUAAGCUCCCUGUCACAAUAUCUUUUUGACAGAAAACAUAGAUCUAUAGUCUGUAAGCAGAGUAACUUAGAAAAAUAAAAACCAACCAACCCAAACAAACAAACAAAACAAAACAAACCACAUAUUUGGAAGUGUCCCAGCAAGGAACAGAUACAAGGCCCUCAGUUAUCUUUUCAUUGGCCUUUGAACUACUCCCUCCUGCCCUAAAGAAACAUGAACUUCUAUUUGAUUAAAGAAGGUAUUCUGUCUAUAUGAUCAAGGAAUGCCUCAUAGACUGGAUCUAGUAGAUCUCUCCAGUUCCUUCCCUCUUUAACACCUCAUGUCAUUGUGAAAUACAGCUAUGAACUAGUGUAUUUGGGUCAAGAAGUUGUCAAUGAUCUGUCCCCAAAGAAUACAGAAUAGCUACAGUUGUGUGUUUGCUAUAUCUUUAAUGAUAUUCCCAAUCAUGAAGUCACUGUUCACCUGUACAGAUCCAAUCUCCCAUUGUACAUCUUCUCAACUCACUUGACCAAUGGUCAAUUUUUGCAAAUGUUGUGAAUGCUUAUCCAUGACUAUUUCAGCAAUACUGAAAUAUUAACAAUGACCACUGGUCAUUUUGUGUUGUAAUCCUUUUUUAUGCAUGUAACUAAUUCAAGAAUCCUUUGGCCAUAAGAAACUAGAACUAAAAAUCCCGUUCUUGCUUCCAGCCACUCUGCAUUUGAUUGACAUUUAGCAGUGAUUAAUACAGUGGCCAUCUAGAUACCAUAGAUGUCUAAAUUGUGAUUUUUUUUUUUGUCUGAAAGGAGAUGGUUAAGCUGGCUCUGCUAAGGGACAAACGUCUAACUUUUUGAGAUACCUGGAUAUUUAACUGUUGUAACUUUCUACUUAGCUGUUUGACAUUUCAUAAGCAAUCCCCGUCAUGGCUCUGGCUGUCUUGUUUUUUUCAAAGUACUUGUUGGCUCUGUCUUACACUGUUCUCACUGACUUUAUAAGUAAACAGGUUUGCUGUUACCGAGUAGCCCAAGCACAAAGUGUGACUUCGUUGACAUUUUAUGAGUUCUUGACUCCCAAUAAAAGAAAUGUUGCAUUAA